GAAGUGUAUAUCAUUGUUGUUGCGGUUAAAAAGCUCGUAGUUGGAUCUGCGCCUUUGAGUUCGGUCCUCCCAAAUGGGAGUGCACUGAUACUCGGGGCUAACUGGCUGGUUUUCUCUUGGUGCUCUUAACCGAGUGCCUUGAGUGACUAGCACGUUUACUUUGAAAAAAUUAGAGUGCUCAAAACAGGCGUUAGCCUGAAUACUGGUGCAUGGAAUAAUGGAAUAGGACCUUGGUUCUAUUUUGUUGGUUUUCGGAACAUGAGGUAAUGAUUAAGAGGGACAGACGGGGGCAUUCGUAUUGCAGCGUUAGAGGUGAAAUUCUUGGACCGCUGCAAGACGAACAACUG
Molecule: ribosomal RNA, 347 nt
Filed under: Cylindrolaimus sp. 202149
Lineage: Eukaryota; Metazoa; Nematoda; Chromadorea; Araeolaimida; Diplopeltidae
Description: SSU rRNA
Rfam family: Eukaryotic small subunit ribosomal RNA
Source: RNAcentral